GAUGAACGCUGGCGGCGUGCCUAAUACAUGCAAGUCGAGCGAACAGACGAGGAGCUUGCUCCUCUGACGUUAGCGGCGGACGGGUGAGUAACACGUGGAUAACCUACCUAUAAGACUGGGAUAACUUCGGGAAACCGGAGCUAAUACCGGAUAAUAUAUUGAACCGCAUGGUUCAAUAGUGAAAGACGGUUUUGCUGUCACUUAUAGAUGGAUCCGCGCCGCAUUAGCUAGUUGGUAAGGUAACGGCUUACCAAGGCAACGAUGCGUAGCCGACCUGAGAGGGUGAUCGGCCACACUGGAACUGAGACACGGUCCAGACUCCAACGGGAGGCAGCAGUAGGGAAUCUUCCGCAAUGGGCGAAAGCUUGACGGAGCAGCGCCGCGUGAGUGAUGAAGGUCUUCGGAUCGUAAAACUCUGUUAUUAGGGAAGAACAAAUGUGUAAGUAACUAUGCACGUCUUGACGGUACCUAAUCAGAAAGCCACGGCUAACUACGUG
This 497-nucleotide ribosomal RNA is filed under the name uncultured bacterium. Its description in RNAcentral is "partial 16S ribosomal RNA". It matches the Rfam family "Bacterial small subunit ribosomal RNA", at positions 28 to 507 of the family's 1533-position model. The record is from RNAcentral.